This 231-nucleotide ribosomal RNA is filed under the name uncultured bacterium. RNAcentral's name for it is "partial 16S ribosomal RNA". It matches the Rfam family "Bacterial small subunit ribosomal RNA", at positions 546 to 776 of the family's 1533-position model. The record is from RNAcentral.
CGGAAUUACUGGGCGUAAAGGGCGCGUAGGCGGAUAGUUUAGUCAGAGGUGAAAGCCCAGGGCUCAACCUUGGAAUUGCCUUUGAUACUGGCUAUCUUGAGUUCGGGAGAGGUGAGUGGAAUGCCGAGUGUAGAGGUGAAAUUCGUAGAUAUUCGGCGGAACACCAGUGGCGAAGGCGACUCACUGGCCCGAUACUGACGCUGAGGCGCGAAAGCGUGGGGAGCGAACAGG